GAUGAACGCUGGCGGCGUGCCUAAUACAUGCAAGUCGAGCGAACAGACGAGGAGCUUGCUCCUCUGACGUUAGCGGCGGACGGGUGAGUAACACGUGGAUAACCUACCUAUAAGACUGGGAUAACUUCGGGAAACCGGAGCUAAUACCGGAUAAUAUAUUGAACCGCAUGGUUCAAUAGUGAAAGACGGUUUUGCUGUCACUUAUAGAUGGAUCCGCGCCGCAUUAGCUAGUUGGUAAGGUAACGGCUUACCAAGGCAACGAUGCGUAGCCGACCUGAGAGGGUGAUCGGCCACACUGGAACUGAGACACGGUCCAGACUCCUACGGGAGGCAGCAGUAGGGAAUCUUCCGCAAUGGGCGAAAGCUUGACGGAGCAACGCCGCGUGAGUGAUGAAGGUCUUCGGAUCGUAAAACUCUGUUAUUAGGGAAGAACAAAUGUGUAAGUAACUAUGCACGUCUUGAUGGUACCUAAUCAGAAAGCCAUGGCUAACUACGUG
Molecule: ribosomal RNA, 497 nt
Filed under: uncultured bacterium
Lineage: Bacteria
Description: partial 16S ribosomal RNA
Rfam family: Bacterial small subunit ribosomal RNA
Source: RNAcentral